AGAGUUUGAUCAUGGCUCAGGACGAACGCUGGCGGCGUGCCUAAUACAUGCAAGUCGAACGCUUUUUCUUUCACCGGAGCUUGCUCCACCGAAAGAAAAAGAGUGGCGAACGGGUGAGUAACACGUGGGUAACCUGCCCAUCAGAAGGGGAUAACACUUGGAAACAGGUGCUAAUACCGUAUAACACUAUUUUCCGCAUGGAAGAAAGUUGAAAGGCGCUUUUGCGUCACUGAUGGAUGGACCCGCGGUGCAUUAGCUAGUUGGUGAGGUAACGGCUCACCAAGGCCACGAUGCAUAGCCGACCUGAGAGGGUGAUCGGCCACACUGGGACUGAGACACGGCCCAGACUCCUACGGGAGGCAGCAGUAGGGAAUCUUCGGCAAUGGACGAAAGUCUGACCGAGCAACGCCGCGUGAGUGAAGAAGGUUUUCGGAUCGUAAAACUCUGUUGUUAGAGAAGAACAAGGAUGAGAGUAGAACGUUCAUCCCUUGACGGUAUCUAACCAGAAAGCCACGGCUAACUACGUGCCAGCAGCCGCGGUAAUACGUAGGUGGCAAGCGUUGUCCGGAUUUAUUGGGCGUAAAGCGAGCGCAGGCGGUUUCUUAAGUCUGAUGUGAAAGCCCCCGGCUCAACCGGGGAGGGUCAUUGGAAACUGGGAGACUUGAGUGCAGAAGAGGAGAGUGGAAUUCCAUGUGUAGCGGUGAAAUGCGUAGAUAUAUGGAGGAACACCAGUGGCGAAGGCGGCUCUCUGGUCUGUAACUGACGCUGAGGCUCGAAAGCGUGGGGAGCGAACAGGAUUAGAUACCCUGGUAGUCCACGCCGUAAACGAUGAGUGCUAAGUGUUGGAGGGUUUCCGC
This 857-nucleotide ribosomal RNA is filed under the name uncultured bacterium. RNAcentral's name for it is "bacterial SSU rRNA". It matches the Rfam family "Bacterial small subunit ribosomal RNA", at positions 8 to 837 of the family's 1533-position model. The record is from RNAcentral.